CUACGUGCCAGCAGCCGCGGUAAUACGGAGGGUGCGAGCGUUAAUCGGAAUAACUGGGCGUAAAGGGCACGCAGGCGGACUUUUAAGUGAGGUGUGAAAUCCCCGGGCUUAACCUGGGAAUUGCAUUUCAGACUGGGAGUCUAGAGUACUUUAGGGAGGGGUAGAAUUCCACGUGUAGCGGUGAAAUGCGUAGAGAUGUGGAGGAAUACCGAAGGCGAAGGCAGCCCCUUGGGAAUGUACUGACGCUCAUGUGCGAAAGCGUGGGGAGCAAACAGGAUUAGAUACCCUGGUAGUCCACGCUGUAAACGCUGUCGAUUUGGGGAUUGGGCUUUAAGCUUGGUGCCCGAAGCUAACGUGAUAAAUCGACCGCCUGGGGAGUACGGCCGCAAGGUUAAAACUCAAAUGAAUUGACGGGGGCCCGCACAAGCGGUGGAGCAUGUGGUUUAAUUCGAUGCAACGCGAAGAACCUUACCUACUCUUGACAUCCAUGGAAUCUUGUAGAGAUACGGGAGUGC
This 515-nucleotide ribosomal RNA is filed under the name uncultured bacterium. RNAcentral's name for it is "bacterial SSU rRNA". It matches the Rfam family "Bacterial small subunit ribosomal RNA", at positions 501 to 1017 of the family's 1533-position model. The record is from RNAcentral.